GCGGGUAACGGCCACCAAGGCGACGAUCAGUAGCCGGACUGAGAGGUUGACCGGCCACAUUGGGACUGAGACACGGCCCAGACUCCUACGGGAGGCAGCAGUCGGGAAUAUUGCGCAAUGGAGGAAACUCUGACGCAGUGACGCCGCGUGCAGGAAGAAGGUUUUCGGAUUGUAAACUGCUUUAGACAGGGAAGAAACUGACGGUACCUGACUAAGAAGCACCGGCUAAAUAC
RNAcentral lists this ribosomal RNA (233 nucleotides) under uncultured bacterium. Its description in RNAcentral is "partial 16S ribosomal RNA". It matches the Rfam family "Bacterial small subunit ribosomal RNA", at positions 252 to 504 of the family's 1533-position model. The record is from RNAcentral.